AGGUGAACCUGCGGAAGGAUCAUUACAGAGUUCAUGCCCUUCGGGGUAGACCUCCCACCCUUUGUAUACCUUGCCUUUGUUGCUUUGGCGGGCCGCCUUUUGGCCACCGGCUCCGGCUGGUGCGCGCCCGCCAGAGAACCCCAAACCCUGUCUUACAGUGUCGUCCGAGUACUAUAUAAUAUUUAAAACUUUCAACAACGGAUCUCUUGGUUCUGG
RNAcentral lists this unclassified non-coding RNA (216 nucleotides) under uncultured fungus. RNAcentral's name for it is "partial contains 18S rRNA, ITS1 and 5.8S rRNA". The record is from RNAcentral. Lineage: Eukaryota; Fungi.